UUGCCCAAUAAUUCAAAGCCUACAGCCGCCAUUUGUAGAGCUUACAGAGACCUGAUUCCUUCCUUGUUGGGCGCUGUAGAGAUUCAAUUAAGUUGAUGAUUUAGGGUGAAAUUACCAGUGCCUUUUUUCUUUUAAGUACUUCAGACGAGUUCUCUAAUGGCAAAGGGAGAGGCCGUCGCUGUUAAAGAUGCUGUCCACAAAUUACAACUCUGUCUUCUUGAAGGCAUCAAAGAUGAAAACCAGCUCAUUGCUGCUGGAUCUCUGUUGUCUCGGAGUGAUUAUCAGGAUGUAGUAACUGAACGAUCAAUAGCUAACAUGUGUGGUUAUCCUCUUUGCAGCAAUUCUCUGCCUUCUGAAAGGUCUCGGAAAGGACAUUACAGAAUAUCAUUGAAGGAGCAUAAAGUUUAUGAUCUUCAUGAAACAUACAUGUACUGUUCAACAAAUUGUGUUGUCAAUAGCGGAGCAUUUGCUGGUAGCUUGCAGGAUGAGAGAAGUUCUACACUGAAUCCAGCAAAGCUUAAUCAAGUCCUGAAUCUAUUUAAGGGGUUGCAUUUACAUUCCCCAGAAGAUGUGAAGGAAAAUGGAGAUCUAGGAUCUUCUAAGUUGAAAAUCCAGGAAAAAGCGGAUGUAAAGGGGGGUGGUGAAGUUUCAUUGGAAGAGUGGAUGGGUCCAUCUAAUGCAAUUGAAGGCUAUGUUCCACAGAGAGAUCGAAGUGUGAAUCCAGCACUCUUGAAAAACAUUAACAAAGGAUUCAAGAAUAAGCAUGCCAGACUCCAAGAUGAGAAAAACAUGAUACUUAAUGAGUUUGAUUUUUCCAGCACUAUAAUAACUCAAGAUGAGUAUAGUGUUUCAAAGUUUCCAGCUCCUGUAAAUGCUGUCUCGAGUGAAAAGUUCAAAGAAGCCCAAGCGAAGACGAGGUACAAAGUUAGGGAUGAUGAUGUUUCUAUACUGGGAAAGCGAGUUGAUGCCUUGCAGUUGUGUUCUGGAGAAGAAACAGAAAAAUCGGAUAAGAACACUAGAUUUUUGAAGGUGGACAAAUUUAAUUCUGGUGAAGUGUCUUCUGGUCCUUCCCAACAUGAUGUCAAGAACAAAAGUGUCCUAAUUAUGUCGGAUGACGGAAGGAAAUAUGCAUCCCAUGGUGAACAUGAGAAACAAUUGCUCAGAUCUUCUUUAAAAUCUUCAAAUUCCAAGAAAAUGUCUCGGUCAGUUACUUGGGCUGAUGAAAUUAUCGAUGGUGGCAUUGGCAAGAAAACAGAGAGCUCAUCCAAAAUAUCAGAAUAUGAGAACCAAGCUUAUGGGGGAUCAGCCUCUACUGACAUGGAAGAGGAUGAUGAUUCAUAUCGGUUUGAAUCUGCAGAAGCCUGUGCAGCAGCACUAAGCCAAGCAGCAGAGGCUGUUGCCUCAGGUUCUAAUGUCCCUGAUGCUGUGUCCAAAGCCGGGAUUGUAAUAUUGCCAACCUCACAAGAAGUGGAUGAAGCAAUACUUCAAGAGACUGAGAUGCUUGAUAUAGAACCAGCUCCUUUAAAAUGGCCAAGAAAACCAGGGAUGCCAAAUUAUGAUGUUUUUGAAUCAGAGGACUGUUGGUAUGAUGAUCCACCCGAGGGGUUUAAUAUGACUCUGUCACCUUUCGCAACAAUGUUUAAUUCCCUCUUCACGUGGAUAUCAUCAUCGUCCUUGGCAUUUAUAUAUGGGCAUGAUGAAAACAAUAAUGAGGAGUAUUUGUCUAUCAAUGGAAGAGAAUAUCCUCACAAAAUUGUGUUGUCUGAUGGCCGGUCAACUGAGAUCAAGCAGACUCUAGCUGGCUGUCUUGCUCGAGCAUUGCCGGGAUUGGUUGCUGACCUUAGGCUGCCAGUACCAAUAUCAACUUUAGAGCAAGGAAUGGUUCUCCUCUUAAAUACAAUGUCUUUUGUGGAUCCACUCCCUGCAUUCCGAAUGAAGCAGUGGCAACUUAUUGUACUUCUGUUUCUUGAUGCUGUUUCUGUAUGUAGGAUACCCACACUGGCUCCAUAUAUGACAGGGAGAAGGACUUCGCUUCCAAAGGUGCUUGAUGGUGCUCAGAUAAGCACAGCGGAAUAUGAGAUCAUGAAAGAUCUAAUCAUUCCACUAGGUCGAGUGCCUCAGUUCUCAAUGCAAAGUGGAGGCUAGUUUGACAUGAAAUAGCUGUUGUGGACCCUCUCCUAUAAACCUUCAUGGUAGAUAGAGGAGGUGAAAAUAGACUUGAAAGAACUGCACAGAGCUGUUGCUUAAUGCAAUUUACAGCAAGUUCUCUAAUCCUGGUAGGAGUUGAUUUUGCCACCUUCCCACCAGCAAGAUAUCUUCAUCCUAUCAUUAUAUCCUCUUGUUGGAACAUUGUUUAGUUUGGCAAGGUCUGAUAUCUCAUGUUUACUGCUGUGAUCUCUCUUAUCUUAGGGACCAGUGAUAUGGAAACUGUGAUUCCACUUUUUUUAGUGUGAAAAUUUGGUCAAUCAUUCUUACCUACUUUGUGCAGUCAUGUAAAAAUUCUUAAUAUGUUUUGUGAUUUGUGAAUAUAUAACUAUAAAAAGAAACUACCAUUUUUCUGUGGGUUUUAAAUCCAAA
Molecule: RNA transcript, 2577 nt
Organism: Solanum stenotomum
Lineage: Eukaryota; Viridiplantae; Streptophyta; Magnoliopsida; Solanales; Solanaceae
Gene name: putative RNA polymerase II subunit B1 CTD phosphatase RPAP2 homolog
Exons: 8
Source: RefSeq, a predicted model, not a curated record